GAAGAUAUGGUUUUGUGAUCUAUGGUCUUGGGUCAUCCGUUGGAUGGGUGAUAAUGGAAAUUUUCUUGAGGACAGACACGUGCAAGUUUUGUGAGAGUUAAACCUGUUUUAUGAGAGUUAAACCUGUUUUAUGAGAGUUAAAGCUAUUUUUUGAGAGUUAAACAUGUGCAUACGAAUGGAUUUUUUUUAGAACUGGUCAAACUAUUUUUUUGUAAGAGUUAAAGCUGUUUUCUUGAGGACAAACCCGUGAAUAAGUCUCAUCUGUAUAGAUUAAUUAAUAUAAUAGGACAACAAUUUAAGUUUAUUGAAGCUCUUUCUAAGAAGCGGGGGUCUGCUUUGGUUUCUUGUUGUUUGCCUAUUCUCUUAAAAACAGUUGACUGGAUGCAGCUGACGGGUUAUACAUCAAUAAUUUGGGCAGUUGGAUAUGGCAUUUACAAGUAAAGGAUUUCAGAAAUCUAAUAUGGCAUGCCUAUUUUUCAUGGAAAAACGAAUGGUACCUUAUUUACUAUUUAGUUUUUAAGCUAGACUAAUUUGACUACACGCUUCCUGAGGUGCCUUCUGUUUUUGAAUAGUCAUAGAAUUCUCCUGAUUACGAGAUGUUCCUUUGUCACUAUUUGAAUUUCUGCCUUGAGUGGCCUCUGUCUUGGUUUACAGCUCCAUAUGGCUACUUAUGUAUAACAUAAGGAGGUCCUGUUUGAACUGUUCUCAAAUAUGUUUACUACAGCAAAGUGGAAUAUGCAAAGUUUCUGUGUUGAUUAGGCAAAUACUUGCUUUGCCUUAAAUACUGUCCCCAUCUAUGUUCCAGGUUUUUUGGGUAUGAAUUAUUUCCCUGGAAUGGAUCAACACAUUUGCAUGGGAUUUUAGAAAAAUAUAUGUGAAUGCAUCUUUCUAAUAAAAGCAUUGCUUAAGAAAUACCCUUUUCUGAAAUCAAAAUUGUUGUUGGUCUUCUGAUCACUUUCAUUGUCUAUCAGAUAGGCUAUGGCUUCCAUAAGCUAGCAUCAUUAGGGUCAGGUCGUUGUGUUUAGUUUAUUUUCAGUGCCUUGCAAGUUAGUGGUUCCCAGAAGAUUGUAGCCUACCUUAUUAGCGUCGACUGGCAUAUUUAUCUUUCAAUGUCAUUGCUUAACCAUGCCUGGCUGACUGCUAUAUUUAUAUAUGCACAAAGUGCUUAUUCCUUUGGUGCUUCCAGAUUGUCAAGGUAUGAGCAGAGCAGCGAGGGAUGAGAAAUGGGGUAACUUAUCGUAGACAUACAGAAAUGAAAAUAAAGCUAUGCACAGAGAAAAGGUGUAGAAUUGAUUGCUGGGCAUGAAUUCCGGCAUGGACCACUUUGCUUUGCUUUUGUCACAUUAAAAUUAAUCAUAUAUAGUAAUUUUUUUGUCCACAGUACUAUGAUCCAUCCAUCAUUGUUGGUUCACCAUUCUAAAGGAAAUAGACAAAGGUAAAAUCUUAGUGUACUUGAAUAUAUAGAUUUGUCUGAUUGUGUUGUAAUCUUAGUUUCCUUUUAUCUUUCUAUAUAUGAACCUGCUAUUAUGUGUCAUUGUGUUGUGGUCUUGACCAUCUGCAGCAAGGGUUAGGCAAAUAGUUAUCCUGUAAAAUGAGUUGCCGGUUCUUACCACGUGGUUGCUAUUUUAUUUUGCAAUUUUUAUGCAUCACAUGAUUACUUUUUUAAAAAGUGAUCUUAAUUCAUGGUCCUUAGUUUACUGAUCGUUCGGCGGCUCUGUGUACCAAUAUAGUGGUGCAUCUAGGAGGAAGGGAUCUAGAGACGACGAUGGACAAAACAAUCCUGCAGAGGCAGCAAGAGGCAGUUCUCGACAAAUCACUAUAAGGUGUUCUCUUUUGACCUGUUGAUAUUACUGUCUCUCUGGUUUUGAUUUCCUUGUAUAAAAUUUACUAAUUUGGGAGAAAAGCAGCGCAAGGAUCCAAUGGAAGAAUUUGGUGAAGAACAAGGUCUCCAUCAUUUGGCGUCAAGGAAAGGAAGACCAUGUCAUCAUUUGGCCAGUGCAGGUAAUGCUCUACCUGAUGCACUAUUUAGGUCAUCAUGGUUUCAAUACUUUUGGCUCGCCUUAAUGCUAAUAAGGAAUGUCGGGCUUACAAGUUUCAACAAUGUGCAGUGAUUCCAAAGUUAUGUAGGCCAGAUUGUGUUAUUUUUUACUGAACACUUUGUUCUCCAGUGAGGUUACAGAUUCUAUAAUAUGUUGUGGCGGUAUGUACAUAUGGAAAUCCUAAUCUAGCUAAUUUGAUUGUGGGAAUUAUGUUGUUAGUCUAUCUUCCAGGCCUGUUGUCAGUUAUCAUUAUUUCUGCUAUAAUGUGAGCCAAUUAGAAACUGAUAUAAUGUGUUUUUCCUAAUAAAUCUCAUGCUGGUGUGUUUUGCAUUCUCAAAAAAUCAUGACAGGUCCCCAUGCCCCUGUAUCUGCCCUCGAAGCCGGGUUCCGCGAGCUAAGGUUGCAGGGGAGAAUGAACGUGCAAGUUUCCAGCAGCAAAGUUUUUUCUACAUUUGAUGGGUAGCUAAAUUAGUUUGAUUUCACGGAUGAUGGAGCCUUGCUGUGUGACGUAGUUCCUGGUGAAGAAAUAUUUGUUAGGUCUAUGUAUGUGUGUACUGGAGUUGGUGCAUCUCCAAGGAAGAACCAAACCCUUAUUCCUAUCUUACAAUAUUUUACACUUAAAUGCAAAUGCAAAGUGUUAGCUAUGUUAACUGUUGUUUCAAUCCCUUGUUUGAAAAUGUGAUUGAUUACAAAUUGUGCAUGCUCAAGUAUAUAUUUGUAAAAAGAAGUCCUUAAUUUUU
This 2779-nucleotide long non-coding RNA is filed under the name Triticum aestivum (bread wheat). RNAcentral describes it as "long non-coding RNA (TAES_LNC023533)". The record is from RNAcentral. Lineage: Eukaryota; Viridiplantae; Streptophyta; Magnoliopsida; Poales; Poaceae.